Long non-coding RNA from Dendronephthya gigantea, 277 nucleotides. RefSeq lists it as uncharacterized. Lineage: Eukaryota; Metazoa; Cnidaria; Anthozoa; Malacalcyonacea; Nephtheidae. The record is from RefSeq and is a predicted model, not a curated record. The transcript has 3 exons.
UGAUAAAUUGCUUUAUCUUCCAUGCUCUCCUUCUUUGGGAUGUUGUCCAAAAAUUGUUGCAGCUUUGGUUCUUUUGCCAAGUUUUUGAUGCAUUCUGAUGCUUUGCAGAAACCAUUUGCUGGCCCCAGGCUUUCAAUGUCAUCAACAAGAUGUAGCAGGAGAUGUACUUUAGCCUUCUUUUGAAAUUCAGGCACAUGUAUUAUGUAUCUGGUGUUAUACCUCGCUCAACAAUUCCCAGACCAAGAGUUGUUCAAAUGGAAUGAUAUCUUGCAGAACA